AGGGUGUUGGUGCCUUUUACAAGGUAUGCUUCUUCUAGUUAAGUGAAUUUUGAAAUUUGAUGUUAUCAACUUUUGGUCUACUUGAAUGAUGAAAUUAGAUUUUGUCGUUUUAAGAUCUAUUUGUUAAAAGCCUAUAUUUAUAUCAAUGCUCGAUUUGGGUAUGUGUAUGUUUCAUGUGGAAAGUUCAAGGUUGCCAAUCAUAACGCUUUAGAAUGGGCACAAUUUGGGUCCUUCAUUGCCAAAUUGAAAUGUGUCAUAUAAACCAGGUCUAAUUGUUGAAUCUCAAACCUUUUCUAUCUGUUGGUACAAUGGGGGCUUCUAAAUAAUCAUCUGUUUAAGAAUAGAUAUGCAAAUUGCUUGUCUUGGAAUAGAUUAGUUGGAACUGAGCCAAUGAAAAUUUUAUGGCUUUUCAAUUUGAGAUGUGACCUGUUGUUCUAACUGAGGAUUUUGGACUUGCAUUACAUCUGUAUUGUGUCUAAAUGACAAUAUUUUGAUCAGGGGUUAUCUGCUGGACUACUCA
This 520-nucleotide unclassified non-coding RNA is filed under the name Hevea brasiliensis (rubber tree). Lineage: Eukaryota; Viridiplantae; Streptophyta; Magnoliopsida; Malpighiales; Euphorbiaceae. The record is from RNAcentral.